This 460-nucleotide ribosomal RNA is filed under the name uncultured bacterium. RNAcentral's name for it is "partial 16S ribosomal RNA". It matches the Rfam family "Bacterial small subunit ribosomal RNA", at positions 338 to 795 of the family's 1533-position model. The record is from RNAcentral.
CCUACGGGCGGCAGCAGUGAGGAAUAUUGGUCAAUGGACGAGAGUCUGAACCAGCCAAGUAGCGUGAAGGAUGACUGCCCUAUGGGUUGUAAACUUCUUUUAUAUGGGAAUAAAAUGUUCCACGUGUGGGAUUUUGUAUGUACCAUAUGAAUAAGGAUCGGCUAACUCCGUGCCAGCAGCCGCGGUAAUACGGAGGAUCCGAGCGUUAUCCGGAUUUAUUGGGUUUAAAGGGAGCGUAGGUGGAUUGUUAAGUCAGUUGUGAAAGUUUGCGGCUCAACCGUAAAAUUGCAGUUGAAACUGGCAGUCUUGAGUACAGUAGAGGUGGGCGGAAUGCGUGGUGUAGCGGUGAAAUGCUUAGAUAUCACGAAGAACUCCGAUUGCGAAGGCAGCUCACUGGACUGCAACUGACACUGAGGAGCGAAAGCGUGGGUAGCAAACAGGAUUAGAUACCCGAGUAGUC